AGAGGAAGUAAAAGUCGUAACAAGGUUUCCGUAGGUAAGUUAUAUCGAAUAUCUCUCUGCUGUUUCGUGGCCAUUGCUAACUGUAAUUUAGGUGAACCUGCGGAAGGAUCAUUA
This 114-nucleotide ribosomal RNA is filed under the name Chaetothyriales sp. MACm11a. RNAcentral's name for it is "partial 18S ribosomal RNA". The record is from RNAcentral. RNAcentral also lists the same sequence under 1 other name. Lineage: Eukaryota; Fungi; Ascomycota; Eurotiomycetes; Chaetothyriales.